RNAcentral lists this ribosomal RNA (388 nucleotides) under uncultured Marinomonas sp. Its description in RNAcentral is "bacterial SSU rRNA". It matches the Rfam family "Bacterial small subunit ribosomal RNA", at positions 40 to 421 of the family's 1533-position model. Lineage: Bacteria; Pseudomonadati; Pseudomonadota; Gammaproteobacteria; Oceanospirillales; Oceanospirillaceae. The record is from RNAcentral.
CGGGCGGGCUUAACCAAUGCCAAGUCGAGCGGUAACAGGAAUUAGCUUGCUAAUUUGCUGACGAGCGGCGGACGGGUGAGUAACGCGUAGGAAUCUGCCUGGUAGUGGGGGACAACAUGUGGAAACGCAUGCUAAUACCGCAUACGCCCUACGGGGGAAAGGAGGGGAUCUUCGGACCUUUCGCUAUCAGAUGAGCUCCGUGUGAGAUUAGCUAGUUGGUGGGGUAAAGGCUCACCAAGGCGACGAUCUCUAGCUGGUCUGAGAGGAUGAUCAGCCACACUGGGACUGAGACACGGCCCAGACUCCUACGGGAGGCAGCAGUGGGGAAUAUUGGACAAUGGGGGGAACCCUGAUCCAGCCAUGCCGCGUGUGUGAAGAAGGCCUUAGG